Molecule: ribosomal RNA, 460 nt
Filed under: uncultured bacterium
Lineage: Bacteria
Description: partial 16S ribosomal RNA
Rfam family: Bacterial small subunit ribosomal RNA
Source: RNAcentral
CCUACGGGUGGCAGCAGUGAGGAAUAUUGGUCAAUGGACGAGAGUCUGAACCAGCCAAGCAGCGUGAAGGAUGACUGCCCUAUGGGUUGUAAACUUCUUUUAUAUGGGACUAAAAUGUUCCACGUGUGGGAUUUUGUAUGUACCAUAUGAAUAAGGAUCGGCUAACUCCGUGCCAGCAGCCGCGGUAAUACGGAGGAUCCGAGCGUUAUCCGGAUUUAUUGGGUUUAAAGGGAGCGUAGGUGGAUUGUUAAGUCAGUUGUGAAAGUUUGGGGCUCAACCGUAAAAUUGCAGUUGAAACUGGCAGUCUUGAGUACAGGAGAGGUAGGCGGAAUUCGUGGUGUAGCGGUGAAAUGCUUAGAUAUCACGAAGAACUCCGAUUGCGAAGGCAGUUCACUGGACUGCAACUGACACUGAGGCUCGAAAGUGUGGGUAUCAAACAGGAUUAGAUACCCUUGUAGUC